RNAcentral lists this ribosomal RNA (451 nucleotides) under uncultured bacterium. Its description in RNAcentral is "partial 16S ribosomal RNA". It matches the Rfam family "Bacterial small subunit ribosomal RNA", at positions 354 to 796 of the family's 1533-position model. The record is from RNAcentral.
GUGGGGAAUUUUGCGCAAUGGGGGAAACCCUGACGCAGCAACGCCGCGUGAGUGAUGAAGGCCUUCGGGUCGUAAAGCUCUGUCAGAGGGAAAGAAAUGCGGGAGGGUUAAUACCCCUUUUGCUUGACGGUACCCUCAAAGGAAGCACCGGCUAACUCCGUGCCAGCAGCCGCGGUAAUACGGAGGGUGCGAGCGUUGUUCGGAAUUAUUGGGCGUAAAGCGCGUGUAGGCGGUCUUUUAAGUCUGAUGUGAAAGCCCCGGGCUCAACCUGGGAAGUGCAUUGGAAACUGGGAGACUUGAAUACGGGAGAGGGUAGUGGAAUUCCUAGUGUAGGAGUGAAAUCCGUAGAUAUUAGGAGGAACACCGGUGGCGAAGGCGGCUACCUGGACCGAUAUUGACGCUGAGACGCGAAAGCGUGGGGAGCAAACAGGAUUAGAUACCCUUGUAGUCC